UCAAUUUUGCAGGCCGGUUUUAUAUCCUAUAAAACAGAAGAGAAAACGGUCGAGCUCUUCUCCUUCCACCGAAAUGGUAGCUACCUUCUCCGACCCCUCUUCACCUGGUAAAUGGUCUGGUUUCGAAUGGAUAAAACGGUUUGGAUCCUUGAUUGGUUUUGGUUUGGACUGGUGAGACUGGGUUAUGUUCACAAUCGGUCCGGUCCGGUCCGGUUCUUAGUCAAAUACGGUUUGGUUCGGUCUGGUUUUGGAGGCAAAUGGUUUGGUUUCAUCUGGGUUGAACCGUUGGGUUAGGAGUGGGUUCAACCCAGCUCGUGAGAGCAUCUCCAAGACUCCCAACAGAUCAGAAGUUAGGUCGUGAGCCGCCGCUGCGCCUGGGGCUUCGAUUCCGGCGAGGGAGGGCAGCAGGAGGUUGGGGCGGCGUCGGCACUUCAAUUCCGGUGAGAGCGGGCGGGGGCGGGACGCUGGAACGGAGAGGGAAGGCGGGGGCGGGCCGCACCACCACCUCGAGAAGCAAGGCCGGCGUGCGGUGCGGACGCCGGCGGCCUGGCUGCGCCGCCCUUCCGUCGACUCCUCUCGCGUGCCCGAUGCCGCCGCAAGUCCAUCUCCAUCCACGAAUCGACCGCAGAGAUGGAUCACUUCAAGCGGGGUGAUCUUGAACCGGAGUUCUACGAUGAUGACCACUAGAUGCUGGCCUCGACUUGCGGAUUGUGAUGUGCAUUAUGGCUCUUGUUUGAGCCAUCUUAUGGCCAUUUGAACUCGUUUCUGUUGCCACUUUUGUACUUGAAUUUCCGCUGCAAAUUCUACAAUGCAUGCUUUGGUAUGAUCGAAGCCAAAUGUUGGUGGACAUCCGUAUCCCAAUCAUGAAACACUUAGUCUGAGUUGUCUUAGGGUUUGCUCGUGCUUCUGCCCUUUGUUGGUGGACAUCCGUAUUAUUGGACUUAGGAUAAUCCAGGGUUUAGUAAUCUGGUUUCAUCACAACUCUGCUCAUAAGAUGCAAAUGGAUGCAAAUAGAAAUAAUUUGUAUGAAUAUCCAAUCAUGUUGCAUAAUUUGAAUAAUC
Molecule: long non-coding RNA, 1061 nt
Organism: Brachypodium distachyon (stiff brome)
Lineage: Eukaryota; Viridiplantae; Streptophyta; Magnoliopsida; Poales; Poaceae
Exons: 2
Source: RefSeq, a predicted model, not a curated record